AGAGAAAGACACAGGAACUGAAGAAGCUCCUGGCUCUGAGCUGUCAGCACAGAGCCCGACGCGGGGCUCGAACUCACAAGCCAUGAGAUCAUGACCUGAGCCGAAGUCGGACGCUUAAGUGACUGAGCCACCCAGGCGCCCCUAUGCCUCAGAUCUUUGUGUGUUACGGUGUUGUGUUGUACAUCAUCCCUUGAUUGAAAACCAGCAACAGAACAGGUCUCAGAUUGCCCGCAUCACAAUGAGAUAAGCUUCCGGAAGAUUCUGAAGUCUGAAAACCUGUGUGGCAGACAUACAGGCUGAUCGUUCAGUCUCCAUCCAAACUGGGGCACUAGAGGCAGGGCAGAAGAGGUGGGCACUAAAAAUAAUUACAGGUGCAGGGGUACCUGGUAAGCUCAGAGCAAAUUCAGCUCUACAGAGAACAUGUUCAUGGCUAGUUUUUCUCCACAUUGAAACGUGUAAAUAUUUCACCCAAAUGCAUUUAUGGAGACUGGCUUCUUGUUUCUGUCCUGAGGAGCUUUCUUUGGCAAAUACUCCGACGAGGUGGCCCAGGGCUCAGGCUGCAGACCCCACUUGCAGGCAGAGGAAAGCAGGGUGACAGAUGUCAACAUGUCUGUGUCCUCAAGAGGAUUGCAAAGCAGAGGGAAGAGCCUGGCCUCUAGAGAUGGAUCCGGACUUCGGUUCCUGUUCUCUGUUUGUCACCAGCUGUGCGACACAGGGCGCCCGGUUAAAUUUGAAUUGCAGAUAAACCGCCAGUACUCUCUGGCUGGCACAGGCAGGCCUCAGUUUCUCUCAACGUCUCGGGUUCCUCAUCCCAGAGCAACGUCCACCUGGCAGGACAGGAUGAUUCCGGGCCCCACGGGUGCCGAGCCCAGUGCAGACCCCCUCAGCCAGGGGGAAAGACACCGCCGUGAGUUCUACAGCUGCAAGGAACUAGACUCUUCCGACAGCUGUGGGAGUUCAGAAGAGGACCCUGCCCUCAGAUGAGACCCCCAGGCCCCACUGAUACCUUGAGUACAGCCUUGUGAGAGUCGCCCAGAGGACCAGCCUGGACUCCUGACCCACAGCAAGUAUGAGAUAACGAGCCGGUGUUAUUCAGCCUGCUGGAUUUGUGGUGCCUUGUUACACGGCAGAGGCAGCUAACGCACACGCCGAGUGUCCCACCCCUGCGGGCCCGUGGUGCGGGGAAGGAACCUGAGGGGUGGCCCCGCGAAAUUAAGCGUCACGGGUCUGGCGUGUGGACCCCGAGUGGAGGACGGAGGCAAACCUUCCCUCAGGGCGACCAGGGGUGCGGGCUGGGCUGGAAUCGGGGCCCCCCGCCCCCAAGCAGGCAUGGCCCCUCUCACUCCUGCGCCCACAGGGAGCAAGACGCCCUCCAAGCACCAAGCCCUCAUCUCAGGCUUGAGCAGGAGGAGCGGGAGGAGGGAGAGGGAAGUGGAAAACGGCAGAGAAUGAGAAGGCAGAGGAGGGCGCAGGGAGGUGCGCGCUCUUCCCUCUGCCUGCGAGGGACCAGGGUGCCAGGGGCCUGCCGAGGACGCCCGUCGGCAUAACAGUGCCAGCCCAGCCGGUGCAGCAAGACGCCGCCGACGUCCCCGGCCUUGGCUGCGGCCACACCUUCUUCCU
Molecule: long non-coding RNA, 1620 nt
Organism: Acinonyx jubatus (cheetah)
Lineage: Eukaryota; Metazoa; Chordata; Mammalia; Carnivora; Felidae
Exons: 5
Source: RefSeq, a predicted model, not a curated record